Molecule: long non-coding RNA, 383 nt
Organism: Amphimedon queenslandica
Lineage: Eukaryota; Metazoa; Porifera; Demospongiae; Haplosclerida; Niphatidae
Exons: 3
Source: RefSeq, a predicted model, not a curated record
GGAUAUCCACACUCUUUCUGUAAAUUGCGGGCGAAAUAUAAUUUUGUUAAAGAAAAAUGGCAAAACUAAUGUAAUGUUAUAUUUUUUAGAAGGUAGAGAAGGCAGCACCUCAAUCUACAUGUACGAAGAGUGGUAGCAAGAAGGUGACUAAACUCAAGGAGGAAAGCUCUAGCAGGAUUUCAGAAGUGGGAGAAAUUGAGAUUUCAGAGAUGGCCGCUCUUCCCACUAAGGCUGUUCCUACUAAGCGCGUGAAAGAGCAAGCAGUUAAAGACAAGAAAUUUAAGAAGCCAAAGAAAAGGCCAAAGAAGUUACAUGUAGUACAGUCUUCAAAGAAGGCUAGCAAGAAACAAGCAACCGAAGCGGAAGAGGAUACCUCAAGAAGU